CAACCAAAUAUACAGCGCAGUUACCGUCAGUUAAUUCAAUAUUUUUAAAGUUGUCAAACGAAUACAGUUAAAUUUUUAACAUAUUAAAUAUUUUUGAACACUUUUUUAAUUCCUUUAUAUCAAAAAUGCCUCGCGGGUUGGAAAUUACCUAUUGUAGCGCCCACCUCUACACAUACAAUCAGCAUGCAAACCUAUACUUCUCGAGCAUCGGGAAAGUGGACAUCAGACCUACCAACGCUAGACAGAAUCAUUUCCUCGCCGGCUACCGGGGCCGUCUCUCCAACGCGUGGUCACCAAACGCUCGCGCAAAACACCCGGCCCCGAUUUCCAAUCAACCUCAGCAGAUCUUUCUCAGUAACAUAGGGCUGCCGCCCCAUUACGGGGGACAUGUCCCCGGCCGCAAAUACCGAUAUGGUGACACUUUCUCCAAUGAUUCCAAAUACGUCAAAGUCUGGAUGGCCGCCAUCAAAUCACACUAACACCUCACACGAAAAUUACGCAAUUGAUUUAUUGUACAUAGUCGGAAAAAAUUAAAUCAAAAAUCUCCUGUUUC
Dalotia coriaria is the source of this 553-nucleotide long non-coding RNA. RefSeq lists it as uncharacterized. The record is from RefSeq and is a predicted model, not a curated record. Lineage: Eukaryota; Metazoa; Arthropoda; Insecta; Coleoptera; Staphylinidae. The transcript has 2 exons.